UCUUCCGUAGUAUAGUGGUCAGUAUGUGAGCUUGUCAUUGAAGGGUCCUCCCCUCAAAACAACGCUCGAGACCCGGGUUCAAUUCCCGGCGGGAGAG
Molecule: non-coding RNA, 97 nt
Organism: Chaetomidium leptoderma
Lineage: Eukaryota; Fungi; Ascomycota; Sordariomycetes; Sordariales; Chaetomiaceae
Source: the annotation of a GenBank genome assembly